GAGAGAGCGAGAGAGAGGGAGAGAGAGAGAGCGCAAUGCAUGUUUCCCUGACACCCUCCCCCCUUUUACUCUCUCUCAUCUCAACUCUGUUUUCACUCUCCUACUUUUUCCACUAUAUAUUGACUUCCCCAUUGUUCGCCCUGUCCCUCAGUUCUCUCCAACUCUCUCUCUCUCUUUUUCUUUUUUACUGCUCAGAACUUCUUCUUACACAUUGACACACCCAAAGCUUCCUCGGCCAAACCUCCUCCUCCUAACCAACCUUUCAAAAGGGCUAUUACAGCAGUGUUGAAAAAAGUUAGUGUUCACAGUGAUGGAAAGGCUGAACUCAGAGCUGUACUUGCAGAACUGUUACAUAAUGCAAGAGAAUGAGAGGCUUAGGAAGAAAGCCCAACUUCUCAACCAAGAAAAUCAAACAUUGCUUUCUGAGCUCAAGCAGAAACUUUCCAACAAGCCAAACAAGCACCCAAAAUCCAGUGGUGGCCCAAACUCAAUUCCUGACCUCAACCUUUGCUCCACCUCCAACCCAAAGCCCUCAAAAUCCAGCAAACCCUGAGCAGCAAGUGAACCCAAAACACAACAUCAUGGACCCACCUAGAAUUCCCCUCUUUCUUUUUUUUUUGUGUGUAAAACCAUAGGUGUCAGUUAUAUAUGUAGGUCAAUAGUAGCCAUCUAUCAAUCUGGUUUUACAUUUUAGAUAUAUAUAUUUCCAUCUAUUUUAGUAUCAUGUCAUCCUUUUGGGGGCUUAAAAUGUUGUAUCUCUGAACUACAAAAGUGUGUUAGCUUAUCAACUAGAAAAAGGAGUAUAAUAUUUUUAGCU
This is a long non-coding RNA of Camellia sinensis, 817 nucleotides long. RefSeq lists it as uncharacterized. The record is from RefSeq and is a predicted model, not a curated record. NCBI's taxonomy places the organism in Eukaryota, Viridiplantae, Streptophyta, Magnoliopsida, Ericales, Theaceae.